This 1433-nucleotide ribosomal RNA is filed under the name metagenome. Its description in RNAcentral is "bacterial SSU rRNA". It matches the Rfam family "Archaeal small subunit ribosomal RNA". The record is from RNAcentral.
UCCCGUUGAUCCUGCGGGAGAAUGCUGCCAUCAGGGUUCGACUAAACCAUGCAAGUCUGGGGCUCUUCGGAGCACCGGCAGAAUGCUCAGUAACACGUCGGUAACCUGCCCUUAAGUCUAGGAUAACCUUGGGAAACUGAGGCUAAAACUGGAUAGGGAAUAAUUUCUGGAACGAUAUAUUCUUUAAAAGUAAUGCUUAAGGAUGGGCCGGCGGCGGAUUAGCUUGUUGGUGGGGUAAUGGCCCACCAAGGCUACGAUCCGUAGGGGGGAUGAGAGUCCUAGCCCCGAGAAGGCCACUGAGAUACUGGGCCUAGCCCUACGGGGUGCAGCAGGUGCGGAACCUUUACAAUGCACGAAAGUGUGAUAAGGGGACCCUGAGUGCUUAUGCUUUGCAUAGGCUUUUGCCAAGAGUAAACACCUUGGCGAAUAAGUGGUGGGUAAGACUGGUGCCAGCCGCCGCGGUAACACCAGCGCCGCAAGUGGCAUUCAUGUAUUUGGCUUAAAGCGUUCGUAGCCGGUUAAGUAAAUCAUUUGUGAAAUCGAUAAGCCUAACUUAUCGGCGUGCAGAUGAAACUGCUUAACUUGGGACCGGGAGGGGUCAGAGGUAUUUUUGGGGGAGCGGUAAAAUGCUGUAAUCCCAGAAGGACCACCUGUGGCGAAGGCGUCUGACUAGAACGGAUCCGACGGUGAGGAACGAAAGCUAGGGGAGCAAACCGGAUUAGAUACCCGAGUAGUCCUAGCUGUAAACGCUGCGAACUAGGUGUUGCAUAUUCUCCGUGAAUGUGCAGUAUCGGAGCGAAAGUGUUAAGUUCGCCGCCUGGGAAGUAUGGUCGCAAGACUGAAACUUAAAGGAAUUGGCGGGGGAGCACUACAAGGGGUGCGGCGUGCGGUUUAAUCUAACUCAACGCAGAGAAUCUCACCAGGAGCGACGGCAGGAUGAAGGUCAGUCUAAAGGGCUUACCUGACGAGCCGAGAGGUAGUGCAUGGCCGUCGUCAGCUCGUGCCGUAAGGUGUCCUUUUAAGUAAGGUAACGAGCGAGACCUGCAUCUACAAUUGCUAGCAGGCCCUUUAGGGCGACUGAGCACAUUGUGGGGACUGCCUUGGAAACAAGGAGGAAGGCGCAGGCAACGACAGGUCUGUAUGCUCCGAAUCUUCUGGGCUACACACGCGCAACAAUGGUAGGGACAAUGGGAUACGACUCCGAAAGGAGAAGUUAAACCUCUAAACCCUAUCCUAGUUCAGAUUGAGGCUUGUAACUCAGCCUCAUGACGCUGGAAUCCCUAGUAAUCGGAUUUCAUCACAGUCCGGUGAAUAUGUCCCUGCUCCUUGCACACACCGCCCGUCAAACCAUCCGAGCAGGGUUUAGAUGAGCGUCGGCUUUUUGGUCAAUUCGAAUCUAGACUCAGUGAGGCGGGUUAAGUCGUCACAAGGUA